AAACGCAGCCCCGGGUGGUAGCUCAAAGGGCAUGGAUGGGUUCCAAUGGCUCAUAGGCUUCCCCGUGGGGAGAGUGGACUUUGUCUUUGGAGGACAUAGCCUAACGGGUAUCAUUCGCCACCUCCUCCAGCCGUGGGAUGGUAGCUGUGUGAUAUCCUGGCUGCUGCCAUCCUGCAAGCCUGCCUGGGGAGGUGCCGGGAUGUCUCCCUGCCCCGCAGGUCUCCGCUGUGGCCUGAGAAAGCAGUAGAAGAUGGCCCAAGUCCUUGGGCCCCUGCUGCUAUGGCCUGAGAAAGCAGUAGAAGAUCGCCCAAGUCCUUGGGCCCCUGCACCUGCGUGGGAGACCCGGAAGAAGCUCCUGGCUUCAGAUUGGCUCAGCUCCAGCCAUUGUGGCCAGCUGGGGAGUGAACCAGUGGAUGGAAGACUCUCUUUCCCUCUCUGCCCCUCUCUCUGUGUAACUCUGACUUUCAAAUAGAUAAAUAAAUCUUAAAGAAAGAAAGAAAAUCA
Oryctolagus cuniculus (rabbit) is the source of this 504-nucleotide non-coding RNA. NCBI's taxonomy places the organism in Eukaryota, Metazoa, Chordata, Mammalia, Lagomorpha, Leporidae. The record is from RefSeq and is a predicted model, not a curated record.